RNAcentral lists this ribosomal RNA (433 nucleotides) under uncultured bacterium. Its description in RNAcentral is "partial 16S ribosomal RNA". It matches the Rfam family "Bacterial small subunit ribosomal RNA", at positions 29 to 507 of the family's 1533-position model. The record is from RNAcentral.
AACGAACGCUGGCGGCAGGCCUAACACAUGCAAGUCGAGCGAGGACCUCGGUUCUAGCGGCGGACGGGUGAGUAACGCGUGGGAAUGUGCCCUUCUCUACGGAAUAGCCCUGGGAAACUGGGAGUAAUACCGUAUACGCCCUUUUGGGGAAAGAUUUAUCGGAGAAGGAUCAGCCCGCGUUGGAUUAGGUAGUUGGUGGGGUAAUGGCCUACCAAGCCGACGAUCCAUAGCUGGUUUGAGAGGAUGAUCAGCCACACUGGGACUGAGACACGGCCCAGACUCCUACGGGAGGCAGCAGUGGGGAAUCUUAGACAAUGGGGGCAACCCUGAUCUAGCCAUGCCGCGUGAGUGAUGAAGGCCUUAGGGUUGUAAAGCUCUUUCAGCUGGGAAGAUAAUGACGGUACCAGCAGAAGAAGCCCCGGCUAACUCCGUG